Brassica napus (rape) is the source of this 2128-nucleotide RNA transcript. It is a transcript of the gene named casein kinase 1-like protein 3, with no coding region annotated. The transcript has 15 exons. Lineage: Eukaryota; Viridiplantae; Streptophyta; Magnoliopsida; Brassicales; Brassicaceae. The record is from RefSeq and is a predicted model, not a curated record.
AGUUUAGGAAACAAAACGAAAGAACCUUAACUACACACAGUUGACCAGAUCCAAAGUUACGAAAACACCCUCGCGUAUUCAAUCAACCCUAUAUCCUUUAUCUCUCUCUCCAUCGACGACGCGCACGAACUGAUCCCAGAUUCGUUUUCUUGAUCGGAGAGCUGCCAUGGAACGCAUCAUCGGCGGCAAGUACAAGCUCGGACGCAAGAUCGGCGGCGGCUCCUUCGGAGAGAUUUAUCUAGCUACUCACGUCGAUUCGUUCGAGAUCGUAGCGGUUAAGAUCGAGAAUAGCAAGACGAAGCAUCCUCAGCUUCUUUACGAAGCCAAGCUAUACAGAGUUCUCGAAGGAGGAAGUGGGAUUCCGCGGAUUAAGUGGUUUGGUGUUGAUGGGACGGAGAAUGCUUUAGUGAUGGAUUUGCUUGGACCAAGUCUUGAGGAUUUGUUUGUGUAUUGUGGGAGGAAGUUUUCUCCCAAGACUGUGUUGCUCUUGGCUGACCAAAUGCUAACGAGGAUAGAGUAUGUACACUCCAAAGGAUAUCUGCAUAGAGAUAUCAAACCUGAUAACUUCCUCAUGGGCUUAGGGAGGAAAGCUAAUCAGGUUUAUCUAAUUGACUUUGGACUUGCCAAGAGAUAUCGUGAUGCCAACACCAACCGUCACAUCCCUUACAGGGAGAACAAGAAUUUAACAGGGACUGCACGGUAUGCAAGUUGCAAUACUCAUCUUGGAAUUGAGCAGAGUCGACGGGAUGAUCUAGAAUCUCUUGGAUAUGUGCUUCUGUAUUUCUUGAGAGGAAGUCUUCCAUGGCAGGGUCUUAAGGCUAUUGACAAGAAGCAAAAGUAUGACAAAAUUUGCGAGAAGAAGAUCUCAACUCCUAUUGAGGUUCUAUGCAAAGGUCACCCUGUGGAGUUUGCUUCAUAUUUCCAUUACUGCCACACGCUGACAUUUGAUCAGCGCCCUGAUUAUGGAUUCUUGAAGCGGCUUUUUCGUGAUUUAUUCUCACGGGAAGGAUAUGAAAUGGACUAUAUAUUUGACUGGACUAUAAUAAAGUAUCAACAAGCACAGAAAACUAGAAAUCAGUCUCAGGCAGUUCCUGGGUCUAGCAAUACUCGUGCGACGCCAAUGGACACAAGCAAUCAUCGAGGGGGACCAAAUAUUCCUUAUGAAGCCGACGUCUCUGAGCGUGUCAGAUCGGGUAAGGCCAUUGGUCCAAGCCCACAGAUAAAUAACAAUCCUGCUACAGGGAGGACUCUGGGUUUUGAUCAGCCCGUCCACAAGAAUGUGAACAUGCCAUCCACUUCACUAUCUCCUGCGGGUACCUCAAAAAGAAACGUCGGACAAUCAGGUUUCCCUCCGGAAACCUCAAAUGCUGGGUAUGAAAGCGGGAAAAGAACCGGAGGCUGGACUUCAUCAUUCAUGUCUCCAGACAAAUGAUGCAAAGAAAACAAAACAUUGUCUGAGAUGGUGAGCUAUUAAUGUGAGUCAUGCCCUUGGAAGAUUAAAAAAGGUGUUAGUGACACCAAGUUCUGAUUUCUGCUGUAUAUUAUCUGAGAUGUGUGUGGACAGGCAGCUAUAGAGGAUGGUGUUUUUCCAUGAACACAUUCGUGUUACACACACACAAAGACAUGAAGUAAAUCCAGAGCCAAGCUUCAGAGGCUUUAGGAGCUGUCCUCAGAGGCUUUAGGAGAGAGCACACGUUUCUCCUUUUCUUAAUGACAUAGGUUUCAGAGGAAGAUGUUGACAGACAACAUGGGGUUCUUAAAUUCAAAGAUAGCGACUGAGCAGUUGAAUCUGAACAAGAACAAAAAAACAAAUAUGUCAAAGAGAGCUCAUGAAGCCAGGCAAAAAAAAGGUCGAGUCACGCAUUGGUUUCGGUACAACCGGCCUGUGUUUCUGCCGUAUCCGACUGCUUGGUUUGUUGCGGUCUUUAGCAAAAUCAUCAUCAUCCACCAUCAUAUCUAUCAUCCAUGAGGUAGGUGAAGGUUGUAUCUGCAGCCUCAGUGGAAACAAUACCUCAGGCCGUGAGAGAGGAUCUAAUUGUGUAACAUGAUGUGUUUGUGUUAUGUUUGGCUUAUGAUGUUUUUUUUGUAAUUUAGUCAUUAGUGUAUUAUAUAUACUCUUCAAAAUACA